Molecule: ribosomal RNA, 2825 nt
Filed under: Yersinia pseudotuberculosis
Lineage: Bacteria; Pseudomonadati; Pseudomonadota; Gammaproteobacteria; Enterobacterales; Yersiniaceae
Description: bacterial LSU rRNA
Rfam family: Bacterial large subunit ribosomal RNA
Source: RNAcentral
AGCGUACACGGUGGAUGCCUAGGCAGUCAGAGGCGAUGAAGGGCGUGCUAAUCUGCGAAAAGCGUCGGUAAGCUGAUAUGAAGCGUUAUAACCGACGAUACCCGAAUGGGGAAACCCAGUGCAAUACGUUGCACUAUCGUUAGAUGAAUACAUAGUCUAACGAGGCGAACCGGGGGAACUGAAACAUCUAAGUACCCCGAGGAAAAGAAAUCAACCGAGAUUCCCCCAGUAGCGGCGAGCGAACGGGGAGGAGCCCAGAGUCUGAAUCAGUUUGUGUGUUAGUGGAAGCGUCUGGAAAGUCGCACGGUACAGGGUGAUAGUCCCGUACACCAAAAUGCACAGGCUGUGAACUCGAUGAGUAGGGCGGGACACGUGACAUCCUGUCUGAAUAUGGGGGGACCAUCCUCCAAGGCUAAAUACUCCUGACUGACCGAUAGUGAACCAGUACCGUGAGGGAAAGGCGAAAAGAACCCCGGCGAGGGGAGUGAAAUAGAACCUGAAACCGUGUACGUACAAGCAGUGGGAGCACCUUCGUGGUGUGACUGCGUACCUUUUGUAUAAUGGGUCAGCGACUUAUAUUUUGUAGCAAGGUUAACCGAAUAGGGGAGCCGUAGGGAAACCGAGUCUUAACUGGGCGUCUAGUUGCAAGGUAUAGACCCGAAACCCGGUGAUCUAGCCAUGGGCAGGUUGAAGGUUGGGUAACACUAACUGGAGGACCGAACCGACUAAUGUUGAAAAAUUAGCGGAUGACUUGUGGCUGGGGGUGAAAGGCCAAUCAAACCGGGAGAUAGCUGGUUCUCCCCGAAAGCUAUUUAGGUAGCGCCUCGUGAACUCAUCUUCGGGGGUAGAGCACUGUUUCGGCUAGGGGGCCAUCCCGGCUUACCAAACCGAUGCAAACUCCGAAUACCGAAGAAUGUUAUCACGGGAGACACACGGCGGGUGCUAACGUCCGUCGUGAAGAGGGAAACAACCCAGACCGCCAGCUAAGGUCCCAAAGUCAUGGUUAAGUGGGAAACGAUGUGGGAAGGCACAGACAGCCAGGAUGUUGGCUUAGAAGCAGCCAUCAUUUAAAGAAAGCGUAAUAGCUCACUGGUCGAGUCGGCCUGCGCGGAAGAUGUAACGGGGCUAAACCAUGCACCGAAGCUGCGGCAGCGACACUUAGGUGUUGUUGGGUAGGGGAGCGUUCUGUAAGCCGUUGAAGGUGACCUGUGAGGGUUGCUGGAGGUAUCAGAAGUGCGAAUGCUGACAUAAGUAACGAUAAUGCGGGUGAAAAACCCGCACGCCGGAAGACCAAGGGUUCCUGUCCAACGUUAAUCGGGGCAGGGUGAGUCGACCCCUAAGGCGAGGCUGAAAAGCGUAGUCGAUGGGAAACAGGUUAAUAUUCCUGUACUUGGUGUUACUGCGAAGGGGGGACGGAGAAGGCUAGGCUGGCCGGGCGACGGUUGUCCCGGUUUAAGCGUGUAGGGGGAGUGACCAGGUAAAUCCGGUUGCUUAUCAACCCUGAGGCGUGAUGACGAUGCACUACGGUGCAGAAGCAGUUGAUGCCAUGCUUCCAGGAAAAGCCUCUAAGCAUCAGGUAACAUUAAAUCGUACCCCAAACCGACACAGGUGGUCAGGUAGAGAAUACUCAGGCGCUUGAGAGAACUCGGGUGAAGGAACUAGGCAAAAUGGUGCCGUAACUUCGGGAGAAGGCACGCUGGCGUUAGGUGAAAGGACUAGCUCCUGGAGCUGAAGCCAGUCGCAGAUACCAGCUGGCUGCAACUGUUUAAUAAAAACACAGCACUGUGCAAACACGAAAGUGGACGUAUACGGUGUGACGCCUGCCCGGUGCUGGAAGGUUAAUUGAUGGGGUCAGCCGCAAGGCGAAGCUCUUGAUCGAAGCCCCAGUAAACGGCGGCCGUAACUAUAACGGUCCUAAGGUAGCGAAAUUCCUUGUCGGGUAAGUUCCGACCUGCACGAAUGGCGUAAUGAUGGCCAGGCUGUCUCCACCCGAGACUCAGUGAAAUUGAACUCGCUGUGAAGAUGCAGUGUACCCGCGGCAAGACGGAAAGACCCCGUGAACCUUUACUAUAGCUUGACACUGAACAUUGAGCCUUGAUGUGUAGGAUAGGUGGGAGGCCUUGAAGUGUGGACGCCAGUCUGCAUGGAGCCAACCUUGAAAUACCACCCUUUAAUGUUUGAUGUUCUAACUCGGCCCCAUAAUCUGGGGUGAGGACAGUGUCUGGUGGGUAGUUUGACUGGGGCGGUCUCCUCCCAAAGAGUAACGGAGGAGCACGAAGGUUAGCUAAUCACGGUCGGACAUCGUGAGGUUAGUGCAAAGGCAUAAGCUAGCUUGACUGCGAGAGUGACGGCUCGAGCAGGUACGAAAGUAGGUCUUAGUGAUCCGGUGGUUCUGAAUGGAAGGGCCAUCGCUCAACGGAUAAAAGGUACUCCGGGGAUAACAGGCUGAUACCGCCCAAGAGUUCAUAUCGACGGCGGUGUUUGGCACCUCGAUGUCGGCUCAUCACAUCCUGGGGCUGAAGUAGGUCCCAAGGGUAUGGCUGUUCGCCAUUUAAAGUGGUACGCGAGCUGGGUUUAGAACGUCGUGAGACAGUUCGGUCCCUAUCUGCCGUGGGCGUUGGAAGAUUGAGAGGGGCUGCUCCUAGUACGAGAGGACCGGAGUGGACGAAUCACUGGUGUUCGGGUUGUCAUGCCAAUGGCAUUGCCCGGUAGCUAAAUUCGGAAGAGAUAACCGCUGAAAGCAUCUAAGCGGGAAACUUGCCUCGAGAUGAGUCUUCCCUGGGGCUUAAAGCCCCCUGAAGGAACGUUAAAGACUAUGACGUUGA